UUUGAUCCUGGAUCAGGAUGAACGCUGGCGGCGUGCCUAAUACAUGCAAGUCGAGCGAACAGAUAAGGAGCUUGCUCCUUUGACGUUAGCGGCGGACGGGUGAGUAACACGUGGGUAACCUACCUAUAAGACUGGAAUAACUCCGGGAAACCGGGGCUAAUGCAGGAUAACAUGUUGAACCGCAUGGUUCUACAGUGAAAGGCGGCUUUGCUGUCACUUAUAGAUGGACCCGCGCCGUAUUAGCUAGUUGGUGAGGUAACGGCUCACCAAGGCAACGAUACGUAGCCGACCUGAGAGGGUGAUCGGCCACACUGGAACUGAGACACGGUCCAGACUCCUACGGGAGGCAGCAGUAGGGAAUCUUCCGCAAUGGGCGAAAGCCUGACGGAGCAACGCCGCGUGAGUGAUGAAGGUCUUCGGAUCGUAAAACUCUGUUAUUAGGGAAGAACAAAUGCGUAAGUAACUGUGCGCGUCUUGACGGUACCUAAUCAGAAAGCCACGGCUAACUACGUGCCAGCAGCCGCGGUAAUACGUAGGUGGCAAGCGUUAUCCGGAAUUAUUGGGCGUAAAGCGCGCGUAGGCGGUUUUUUAAGUCUGAUGUGAAAGCCCACGGCUCAACCGUGGAGGGUCAUUGGAAACUGAAAAACUUGAGUGCAGAAGAGGAAAGUGGAAUUCCAUGUGUAGCGGUGAAAUGCGCAGAGAUAUGGAGGAACACCAGUGGCGAAGGCGACUUUCUGGUCUGUAACUGACGCUGAUGUGCGAAAGCGUGGGGAUCAAACAGGAUUAGAUACCCUGGUAGUCCACGCCGUAAACGAUGAGUGCUAAGUGUUAGGGGGUUCCGCCCCUUAGUGCUGCAGCUAACGCAUUAAGCACUCCGCCUGGGGAGUACGGCCGCAAGGCUUAAACUCAAAGGAAUUGACGGGGACCCGCACAAGCGGUGGAGCAUGUGGUUUAAUUCGAAGCAACGCGAAGAACCUUACCAAAUCUUGACAUCCUUUGACCGCUCUAGAGAUAGAGUCUUCCCCUUCGGGGGACAAAGUGACAGGUGGUGCAUGGUUGUCGUCAGCUCGUGUCGUGAGAUGUUGGGUUAAGUCCCGCAACGAGCGCAACCCUUAAGCUUAGUUGCCAUCAUUCAGUUGGGCACUCUAAGUUGACUGCCGGUGACAAACCGGAGGAAGGUGGGGAUGACGUCAAAUCAUCAUGCCCCUUAUGAUUUGGGCUACACACGUGCUACAAUGGACAAUACAAAGGGCGGCGAAACCGCGAGGUCAAGCAAAUCCCAUAAAGUUGUUCUCAGUUCGGAUUGUAGUCUGCAACUCGACUACAUGAAGCUGGAAUCGCUAGUAAUCGUAGAUCAGCAUGCUACGGUGAAUACGUUCCCGGGUCUUGUACACACCGCCCGUCACACCACGAGAGUUUGUAACACCCGAAGUCGGUAGAGUAACCUUUUGGAGCUAGCCGCCGAAGGUGGGACAAAUGAUUGGGGUGAAGUCGUAACAAGGUAGCCGUAUCGGAAGGUUCGGCUGGAUCAGAUCUUAAAGGGCGAUUCGCGGCCGUAAUUCAUCG
RNAcentral lists this ribosomal RNA (1566 nucleotides) under uncultured Bacillota bacterium. RNAcentral describes it as "bacterial SSU rRNA". It matches the Rfam family "Bacterial small subunit ribosomal RNA". The record is from RNAcentral. Lineage: Bacteria; Bacillati; Bacillota.